UACGGAGGGUGCAAGCGUUAUCCGGAUUUACUGGGUUUAAAGGGCGCGUAGGCGGCUUGCCAAGUCAGUGGUGAAAUCCCGCAGCUUAACUGCGGAAGUGCCUUUGAUACUGGCGAGCUCGAGGGAGGUAGGGGUAUGUGGAACUUCUGGUGAAGCGGUGAAAUGCGUUGAUAUCAGAAGGAACGCCGGUGGCGAAAGCGACGUACUGGACCUCUUCUGACGCUGAGGCGCGAAAGCUAGGGGAGCAAACGGG
RNAcentral lists this ribosomal RNA (253 nucleotides) under uncultured prokaryote. RNAcentral's name for it is "partial 16S ribosomal RNA". It matches the Rfam family "Bacterial small subunit ribosomal RNA", at positions 524 to 776 of the family's 1533-position model. The record is from RNAcentral.